RNAcentral lists this ribosomal RNA (798 nucleotides) under uncultured Proteiniphilum sp. RNAcentral describes it as "bacterial SSU rRNA". It matches the Rfam family "Bacterial small subunit ribosomal RNA", at positions 8 to 795 of the family's 1533-position model. Lineage: Bacteria; Pseudomonadati; Bacteroidota; Bacteroidia; Bacteroidales; Dysgonomonadaceae. The record is from RNAcentral.
AGAGUUUGAUUAUGGCUCAGGAUGAACGCUAGCGAUAGGCCUAACACAUGCAAGUCGAGGGGCAGCACAUGAAGUUGCAAUACGGAUGGUGGCGACCGGCGCACGGGUGAGUAACGCGUAUGCAACCUGCCUACAACAGGGGAAUAACCCGUUGAAAGACGGACUAAUACCCCAUAACACAGGGACCCCGCAUGGGAAUAUUUGUUAAAGAUUUAUCGGUUGUAGAUGGGCAUGCGUUCCAUUAGCUGGUUGGUGAGGUAACGGCUCACCAAGGCAACGAUGGAUAGGGGAACUGAGAGGUUUAUCCCCCACACUGGUACUGAGACACGGACCAGACUCCUACGGGAGGCAGCAGUGAGGAAUAUUGGUCAAUGGACGCAAGUCUGAACCAGCCACGUCGCGUGAAGGAAGACGGCCCUACGGGUUGUAAACUUCUUUUGUAAGGGAAUAAAGUGCAGUACGUGUACUGUUUUGCAUGUACCUUACGAAUAAGGAUCGGCUAACUCCGUGCCAGCAGCCGCGGUAAUACGGAGGAUCCGAGCGUUAUCCGGAUUUAUUGGGUUUAAAGGGUGCGCAGGCGGGAGAUUAAGUCGGCGGUGAAAUUUUGCAGCUCAACAGUAAAAGUGCCUUCGAAACUGGUUUUCUUGAGUGUGGAUGAAGUAGGCGGAAUUUGUGGUGUAGCGGUGAAAUGCAUAGAUAUCACGAGGAACUCCGAUUGCGCAGGCAGCUUACUAAACCAUAACUGACGCUCAGGCACGAAGGCGUGGGGAUCAAACAGGAUUAGAUACCCUGGUAGUC